Molecule: ribosomal RNA, 301 nt
Filed under: uncultured bacterium
Lineage: Bacteria
Description: partial 16S ribosomal RNA
Rfam family: Bacterial small subunit ribosomal RNA
Source: RNAcentral
CAGUCGCCGCGGGAAAACGUAGGGUGCAAGCGUUAAUCGGAAUUACUGGGCGUAAAGCGUGCGCAGGCGGUUUGUUAAGUCUGCUGUGAAAUCCCCGGGCUCAACCUGGGAAUGGCAGUGGAUACUGGCAAGCUAGAGUGUGUCAGAGGAUGGUGGAAUUCCCGGUGUAGCGGUGAAAUGCGUAGAGAUCGGGAGGAACAUCAGUGGCGAAGGCGGCCAUCUGGGACAACACUGACGCUGAGGCACGAAAGCGUGGGGAGCAAACAGGAUUAGAGACCCCCGUAGUCCCUGUCUCUUAUAC